This 262-nucleotide long non-coding RNA is filed under the name Lathyrus oleraceus (garden pea). Its description in RNAcentral is "Pisum sativum (pea) long non-coding RNA (PSAT_LNC016952)". Lineage: Eukaryota; Viridiplantae; Streptophyta; Magnoliopsida; Fabales; Fabaceae. The record is from RNAcentral.
AAAACAGCAAACCCUAAGUGUGGAGCAUUGAUGGUUCCCCCGAGCAGUUAACCCUCAGUUAUCCCCAGCCAAGUUGGUCGAUUCAGUUCCCAUGCGGAGUGUUUGUCCCCAGUGGAGUUUAUGCAUAAGUUCCUGGCAGAAUUGCUGAUUACCCAACCAAUUUUGAUCUCCACCAGAGUGAGGAGGGUUUCCUCAGUGGUUUACAUAGAACCAUGGUUUCCCCAUUAGUUGCCAUCCGGCUCACCCCCAGUCAGAGUUUCCU